AAAAUUCCUGAGAUGGUGAUAGAAUCAGGCUGCAGGGACGAAGCACCGACAAAAGAGGUUCUAAGGAACAUCGCAUACACCCAAAGACAACUUAAAAGACCUCACACCAACGAACUUUUAAGUCUCCAAAUGCUAAUUGACCAAAAAGCAGGAACAGACAAUGAAGUCCUGCAGAGGGUUAUGAUGCACCCAAAAGGAAUAAUGCUGUGGUCAAAAAAGACACUGUCCAUUUUUUACCAAAGAUGCAAGGAAGACAUUGUGUAUCUGGAUGCAACAGGAAGUAUAGUUCAGAAAGAAAGUGGCAAAAGUCCACCAUACUACGUGUAUGAAUUAGUUGUGCGGAAUCCUUCCAAGGGGGCAUCUCCUCUUCCUGUUGCAACCUACCUGACUUGUGACCACACCACAGCAUCUGUCACCUACUUUCUGCAGGCUUUCCAAACUGAUCUGAGGAAGUUGUAUGGGAAAAGGGCAGUGCAGAGGCCAGUGAUGAUCAUUUGUGAUGGCUCUUUAGUGCUUCUGCAGUCCAUUUCUUUUACAUUCUGCAGACUAAGCCUAGAGGAUCUUCUGCAGAAGUACUUUGAAGUCAUCACUGGCCAACAUCAAGCAGAAAGGGGAUAUUGGCCGUCAUGGUACAGGCCCAGCAUACCAGCAUUUCAGCAAGAUCCACAAAGAAGUCAGUCAGUCCAAUAAACAGAACUUUACACAAGACAACCGGACACAGGGCAUUAUGGAAAAAAGUCAGUGGGACCUCAAGAGAAUACGAUUCCAGAGAAGGCGACUCACACGAUUUGAUGAUUUUGUGCAGACAUACCAAAAAACUCAUGAUGCACUGAUCAUUGAAUACCAAGACAGAGAAAGAACCAGAAAGAAAUCUUUUCGAGUGGAAAUGGAGCAGUGGAAGAAGAAAAGUCAGGGGCGUAAAGGAGUAUACGUCUCCCGACUAGUGAAGAGUCUCCCAUUCAAAGAAGUCAGAAGCAAGAAGUCUCCAAAGGCAGCCACCAAUGAACCCAAAGAAAAACCCGAAGCUGUGAUCUCGACACAGGAUGAUUUGGAAGCUGCAGACACUGCAGCGGAAAAGGCAACCACAGCCAUCGUACACCCUCAGAAAGCAGCAGUGCAGCAUAUAAGAAGGAGAAAAUCCAAUGUUGAAGGGCCUAUUUGGAAAAACUACAGUGCUACGGGAAAAACAGUUACAAGAAGGCUCUCCCGACCAGCUAAGAUAAAUACUCUGCAAGAAAUCCUUCACCAUGACUACUGGUUGACCAGUGAUGCCAUGGAUCAAGCCAGCUACCUCAUGGCCAAGGAUCAUGACCACAUUGACGGAUUUCAAUCGGUUUUACCGUUUAGCGCAAUUGCACAAGGAGGGAUUGUGGGGACUCCUGAAAAGAAAUUUGUUCAGAUGUUGAACAUCAGACAGAGCCACUGGAUAACGGUCAGCAAUUUGUUUUGCAAUGACACUCAACUCGCCGUUUAUGACAGCCUACGUAGCCCUCUGGACCCAAGAACACUGCAGGCACUGUCCUGGCUGCUAAGGCCACAGUCUGACACUUUGGAAGUUUUGCAACCAGCAGUGCAGCAGCAAGCAAAUUUGAGUAACUGUGGGGUGUUUGCAAUAGCCUUUGCAUAUGCAUUAUGCAAGGGUCAUCAACCAGAACAGUGCAUAUUCAAUGAAGGCAGGAUGAGGGCACAGCUGUACAAGUCAUUCACAAGGAACAACAUCACAUUUCGAAUGAAUGUUGAAGACAGAGAAGCUCAGUCAAACAUCACAACAACUACAGUACCGGUAUACUGUGUUUGCAGAACAGCUCAUUACAAAGAGAUGAUGGUGCAGUGUUCACUGUGCAAAGAGUGGUAUCAUCCCACAUGCGUCAACAUUCCGAGAGCUGUGAUCGGGAAUGAUGACAUCUGGCAGUGUUCCAAAUGUGAACAAGCCAAUAGCACUUGA
Molecule: long non-coding RNA, 1945 nt
Filed under: Gadus morhua (Atlantic cod)
Lineage: Eukaryota; Metazoa; Chordata; Actinopteri; Gadiformes; Gadidae
Description: lncRNA (ENSGMOG00000025862.1)
Source: RNAcentral